Molecule: ribosomal RNA, 497 nt
Filed under: uncultured bacterium
Lineage: Bacteria
Description: partial 16S ribosomal RNA
Rfam family: Bacterial small subunit ribosomal RNA
Source: RNAcentral
GAUGAACGCUGGCGGCGUGCCUAAUACAUGCAAGUCGAGCGAACGGACGAGAAGCUUGCUUCUCUGAUGUUAGCGGCGGACGGGUGAGUAACACGUGGAUAACCUACCUAUAAGACUGGGAUAACUUCGGGAAACCGGAGCUAAUACCGGAUAAUAUUUUGAACCGCAUGGUUCAAAAGUGAAAGACGGUCUUGCUGUCACUUAUAGAUGGAUCCGCGCUGCAUUAGCUAGUUGGUAAGGUAACGGCUUACCAAGGCAACGAUGCAUAGCCGACCUGAGAGGGUGAUCGGCCACACUAGAACUGAGACACGGUCCAGACUCCUACGGGAGGCAGCAGUAGGGGAUCUUCCGCAAUGGGCGAAAGCCUGACGGAGCAACGCCGCGUGAGUGAUGAAGGUCUUCGGAUCGUAAAACUCUGUUAUUAGGGAAGAACAUAUGUGUAAGUAACUGUGCACAUCUUGACGGUACCUAAUCAGAAAGCCACGGCUAACUACGUG